AACCUUUUCCGGCUUUGAAAUAGGAGUUUCACUUGGAGACCCUGAAACAUUAGGUGGAGCAACGGUAGGUAAAGGAGAAAUAUUGGAAACAAUCGUAGAUACAGGAGCAGUAGAAAAAGCGGUAGAUAGGUGGACGGCCUCGGGAACGAUGGGAACAUUAGUAGUAGGAGAAGUAGCAGAUACAAGAGCCGAGGAUGGCGGCUCCGUUAUUUCAACAGGAGAGGCAGGUUUCUUAGGGUAGACAUCAGAUACAGUGAUAGUAGAUGAAGGGUCGUUAAUUAAUUUGGCAGAUGCGCCUGUAUUUGGAGUCGAUUUAUCUUCUGAAUCCUCUUCAACCUGUGUCGAGUCAUCGUUAGAGAUUACAUAGCCUUUUGUAUCUUUCUCGCUCUUAAACUCAUCUUCAGAACC
Molecule: non-coding RNA, 408 nt
Organism: Schizosaccharomyces pombe (fission yeast)
Lineage: Eukaryota; Fungi; Ascomycota; Schizosaccharomycetes; Schizosaccharomycetales; Schizosaccharomycetaceae
Source: the annotation of a GenBank genome assembly